Molecule: non-coding RNA, 380 nt
Organism: Paramuricea clavata
Lineage: Eukaryota; Metazoa; Cnidaria; Anthozoa; Malacalcyonacea; Plexauridae
Source: the annotation of a GenBank genome assembly
UGACUGAGUACAAUUAUAAUCGUUUAUACAAUGAAUGGUGUCAUAUGAACCUGACAUAUUAAACAAUUACAAUCUUAAUCAUUUAUACAAUGAAUGGUGUCAUAUGAAGCUUACAUUAUUAAUACCUGGUUCACACUGGUCGUAAGAAUCGGGGAUUUCCAUUGUCUGUGAUCAUUGGUGUGUAAAAUGCUUUGUCUGUUGGAAAAGAAUACAAUAGAUCGCCGAUAAUUUACGACCAGUGUGAACCAGGCUUAAACAAAAAUGUCAACAAAAUAGAUUUUGUCUCUCCAUUGGCAGAUUGUUCAGUUGUUCUGCGGUAGGGGUAGCCUUGAAGGUACCAUUAAAAUGAUAAUAGGGACAAAAACUGACUUACAGGUUGU